Molecule: long non-coding RNA, 223 nt
Filed under: Brachypodium distachyon (stiff brome)
Lineage: Eukaryota; Viridiplantae; Streptophyta; Magnoliopsida; Poales; Poaceae
Description: long non-coding RNA (BDIS_LNC000417)
Source: RNAcentral
UGGGCCACCGAGAAACACAUGAUUUAAGGAUGGGAUUGAGCCAGACUGACCGGUCACUAGAAACAUUCGCUCAAAAAAGAAAAACAACUAGAUCGUCCAACAGAAGCUGGCCCAUAAGGGCUAUCGGGUCGGUCCCAAAAGAAAAAUUGAACCGCAAUACUAAUAAGGAACAAGGAAGUAGUGUUUGGUUCUACAACGAGGUGGAAUGGAACGGAACGGUUCU